This 253-nucleotide ribosomal RNA is filed under the name uncultured bacterium. RNAcentral's name for it is "partial 16S ribosomal RNA". It matches the Rfam family "Bacterial small subunit ribosomal RNA", at positions 524 to 776 of the family's 1533-position model. The record is from RNAcentral.
UACAGAGGGGGCAAGCGUUGUUCGGAAUUACUGGGCGUAAAGGGCGCGCAGGCGGCCUUCUAAGUCAGACGUGAAAUCCCCCGGCUUAACCUGGGAACUGCGUCUGAUACUGGGAGGCUUGAGUAUGGGAGAGGGAUGUAGAAUUCCAGGUGUAGCGGUGAAAUGCGUAGAUAUCUGGAGGAAUACCGGUGGCGAAGGCGGCAUCCUGGACCAUUACUGACGCUGAGGCGCGAAAGCUAGGGGAGCAAACGGG